AGGCCUUCGCUGUCUGUCAGGGCUAUGACCCUCCCGAGGGCUUCAUCCCGGACCUGAGCAAACCCCUGCUGGACCAUUCUUACGACCCAGAUUUCAACCAGCUGGAUGGUCCCACCCGCAUCAUUGUGCCUUUUGUGACCUGUGGGGACCUGAGCUCCUAUGAUUCGGACCGCAGUUACCCACUGGACCUAGAGGGCGGCUCAGAGUACAAGUACACUCCACCCACACAGCCCCCCAUCUCGCCACCAUACCAGGAGGCCUGCACGUUGAAGAGGAAGGGGCAGCUGGCCAAGGAGAUCCGCCCCCAGGACUGCCCCAUCAGCAGAGUGGACACGUUUCCCCAGCCCCUGGCCGCCCCUCAGUGCCACACCCUGCUGGCCCCUGAGAUGGAAGACAAUGAAAUGAGUUGUUCACCUUAACCCAUUACGGCGUUGUUCUAGGUUUGGAGAUAGAGCAGGGAGCAAAACAGAAAUAUCUUGGCUCUCACAGUACUUCCAGUUUGGAAAAGAGGCAACAAUCAAAACAGUCUCUGGCAAACUGAUACAACUCAGAAACUGCUCAAUGUCAGGAAAACCGGAACUUGUUGAUGAACUUGUUUUCAAAAUAUCAUCUCAUCAACGAGGCCUGGACAAACAAGCCCUGAGGAGGGAUCUGCAACAACCCUGAAGACAACAAGGAAAGAAACCAUGAAAGUCUGUCUGUACUGCAGUGGGAAUUCUUGAGUGAGGUCUUACCUCUUCUUUAAACCUCUUCAGGAGUGUCCUGAUUAUAUCCAGAA
RNAcentral lists this small RNA (778 nucleotides) under Pan troglodytes (chimpanzee). Its description in RNAcentral is "processed transcript". The record is from RNAcentral. Lineage: Eukaryota; Metazoa; Chordata; Mammalia; Primates; Hominidae.